UACAGAGGGGGCAAGCGUUGUUCGGAAUUACUGGGCGUAAAGGGCGCGUAGGCGGCCUGUUAAGUCGAACGUGAAAUCCCCGGGCUCAACCCGGGAACUGCGUCCGAUACUGGCAGGCUUGAAUCCGGGAGAGGGAUGCGGAAUUCCAGGUGUAGCGGUGAAAUGCGUAGAUAUCAGGAGGAAUACCGAUGGCGAAGGCAGGUCUCUGGGCUGACACUGACGCUCAUGCACGAAAGCGUGGGGAGCAAACAGG
RNAcentral lists this ribosomal RNA (253 nucleotides) under uncultured bacterium. RNAcentral's name for it is "partial 16S ribosomal RNA". It matches the Rfam family "Bacterial small subunit ribosomal RNA", at positions 524 to 776 of the family's 1533-position model. The record is from RNAcentral.